RNAcentral lists this ribosomal RNA (183 nucleotides) under uncultured bacterium. Its description in RNAcentral is "partial 16S ribosomal RNA". It matches the Rfam family "Bacterial small subunit ribosomal RNA", at positions 594 to 776 of the family's 1533-position model. The record is from RNAcentral.
GUGAAAACCCAGGGCUCAACCCUGGGCCUGCGUUCGAUACGGGCGGACUAGAGUUCGGUAGGGGAGACUGGAAUUCCUGGUGUAGCGGUGAAAUGCGCAGAUAUCAGGAGGAACACCGGUGGCGAAGGCGGGUCUCUGGGCCGAUACUGACGCUGAGGAGCGAAAGCGUGGGGAGCAAACAGG